GACGAACGCUGGCGGCGUGCCUAAUACAUGCCAGUAGAACGCACAGUUUAUACCGUAGCUUGCUACACCAUAGACUGUGAGUUGCGAACGGGUGAGUAACGCGUAGGUAACCUGCCUGGUAGCGGGGGAUAACUAUUGGAAACGAUAGCUAAUACCGCAUAAUAUUAAUUAUUGCAUGAUAAUUAAUUGAAAGGUGCAAUUGCACCACUACCAGAUGGACCUGCGUUGUAUUAGCUAGUAGGUGAGGUAACGGCUCACCUAGGCGACGAUACAUAGCCGACCUGAGAGGGUGAUCGGCCACACUGGGACUGAGACACGGCCCAGACUCCUACGGGAGGCAGCAGUAGGGAAUCUUCGGCAAUGGACGAAAGUCUGACCGAGCAACGCCGCGUGAGUGAAGAAGGUUUUCGGAUCGUAAAGCUCUGUUGUAAGAGAAGAACGGGUGUGAGAGUGGAAAGUUCACACUGUGACGGUAUCUUACCAGAAAGGGACGGCUAACUACG
This 503-nucleotide ribosomal RNA is filed under the name uncultured bacterium. Its description in RNAcentral is "partial 16S ribosomal RNA". It matches the Rfam family "Bacterial small subunit ribosomal RNA", at positions 28 to 505 of the family's 1533-position model. The record is from RNAcentral.